RNAcentral lists this ribosomal RNA (169 nucleotides) under Diodon hystrix (spot-fin porcupinefish). RNAcentral describes it as "partial small subunit ribosomal RNA". Lineage: Eukaryota; Metazoa; Chordata; Actinopteri; Tetraodontiformes; Diodontidae. The record is from RNAcentral.
CACCGCGGUUAUACGAGAGACCCAAGUUGUUAGGCAUCGGCGUAAAGGGUGGUUAAGGCAAUACCCAAACUAAAGCCGAACAUCUUCCAAGCCGUCAUACGCACACGAAGACAAGAAGCCCGAUAACGAAAGUGGCUCUAACCUGCCUGAACCCACGAAAGCUAUGACA